AAGGGAUUAGUCCAAACAAGACCUCUGAUUUCGGCUCAGAAAACCACGGUCAAAGUCCGUGAUCCCUUU
Molecule: transfer RNA, 69 nt
Filed under: Clarias macrocephalus (bighead catfish)
Lineage: Eukaryota; Metazoa; Chordata; Actinopteri; Siluriformes; Clariidae
Description: tRNA-Arg
Rfam family: tRNA
About the family: Transfer RNA (tRNA) molecules are approximately 80 nucleotides in length. Their secondary structure includes four short double-helical elements and three loops (D, anti-codon, and T loops).
Source: RNAcentral